AGUUUAGCAACUGCAGUUCUUCUGGGUAGCAUGGGCUGCUUCUCCACAACCGCGAGAGGCCCGGCUGCCUGUUUAUUCCGGAGCAGCAGCAGUUGACAGACGGAGAGGCAGUGACUCUGCGCCCAGCAAUCCCUCUGCAGACAGCUCCCACAGGAGUCAUGCCCAGUGUGUGAAGGCUCUGGGCAUCACCAGUGGCCCCAGGGAAAAAGAAAGAAAUGGGAAACAGCAUGAAAUCCGCCCCUGCACCUGCCGAGAGGCCCCUGCCCAACCCAGAGGGACUGGAUAGUGACUUCCUUGCCGUGCUGAGUGACUACCCGUCUCCUGACAUCAGCCCCCCGAUAUUCCGCCGAGGGGAGAAACUGCGUGUGAUUUCUGAUGAAGGGGGUUGGUGGAAAGCUAUUUCUCUUAGCACUGGUCGAGAGAGUUACAUCCCUGGAAUAUGUGUGGCCAGAGUUUACCAUGGGUGAGUACAUUUCUCAAAUGGCAUCAAUUAAGCCUGAUGCUAGUGACUCAUAAGGUGGAACAAAGAUUCCUGCAUUCAUAGUAGAAAGGAAGGCACUGGGCCAAGAAGAGAUAGUCCUGCUCCCAACCCAGUCAAUAAGGAAAGGAGCAACCUUGGGCUAACUUAUCUCUUCUGCUUUCUGGGACUCAACUUCUCCCUCAGUAAAAUGAAGGAAGUUGGACCUUUCAGCUCUAACAUGGUGUUCCUGGCACAGAGUGGUAAACAGCUGGGAAAUGUUAUCGGAGGGCACAGCACAGUGCAGAGACUAGAAGUCAGUGUGUCUAGGUUCAAAUCCUGCCUCUGUCACUUACUGGCUGUGUGCCAGUGAACAAGAUUUUUAUGCAUGAGUUCCCUUUCCUCACCUGUCAAGUAGAGAUCAUAACAUACAACGACAGGGAUAAUAAUAUAUGAUAAUAUGAUCAAAGUGUAGGGUUGUUAUGAGAAUAAGAUGUAAUAAUACAUGUUUAGUUCUUGGAGCAAUGCCAGGCAUUACAGUAAGCCCUCGACAAAUAUUAGCUAUAUUCU
RNAcentral lists this small RNA (1027 nucleotides) under Pongo abelii (Sumatran orangutan). RNAcentral describes it as "retained intron". Lineage: Eukaryota; Metazoa; Chordata; Mammalia; Primates; Hominidae. The record is from RNAcentral.